UUUCAGAACCCUGUACACUGUUUCAGAGGACGGCGCGCGAACUGCCCGGUACUUGCCACCAGCUUGUCAGUGUGAGCGCCGGAAGGGAGGUCUCUGGAGCGGCUUCGGAUUUCGAGCCAGUCGCAGUCUUGGUCUGAUCCCCAGAGCGUGGCCAGUCCAGCGACCGCACCAGCAACUCGUGACAUUUUUACUGAGCUCUGGCGGCACUACAUGAACGGACGACACGCCAUCCCGAGAUAUUCGUCGUCAGUUCACCAGCUUACUCCCCAAUGCGUGCCCAGGCGCCAGAGCUGCGGGAAAGCCUCCAGCGCCCUACAGGUGGCUGCAAGGGGAGUGCUGAAUCUGUUCGCUUGAGUGUUGUGAUUCCACCAAGUCUACUCCAACUCGUCACAUCAAUAACCCUGACAACUUUGCCAUAAGGGUUCUUCAAAGACUAUCGAACCAUUCUGGAGCUGGAUCGUGUAGUCUGGAUCAUGUUCAAAAAGAGAUGGCAACACUUCGGGACUGCUUCAGGCUUCUUCGCCUCCAACAGCUUUGCUUGGACUGCUUUCACAGUGACAUUUUCCCCGCAUAAUGUGUUUCCGUGAAGUCCAUAUCUAAAUAUUCAAACAAACCAUGUUCCUUUGUUUGAAUGCAAGUGCUAGUGGCUUUUGAUUACAGUGAUCACAACUAUUUACUUGAGAUAUAACAGGGCAAAGUAUAAAAUUUAUUGGUUUAUAUCAGUGUAUCGAGGCGUAUCAUAUUGUUUUGAUGUGGCCAGAGAUAGUCGUAAAGAUGGUUUCUCUCCAUUGGCUGGGUGAGUGCCCAUGUCACAUUGUCAAUUUUUUUUGUCUCUCUGUCUUAUCUUGCUGCCCAAGACCUCCUGACUCUGUUGAACUUGGGGCAGAUAAAGAUUUAGUAAUAAGCUCUUUUAUUUUAAUUUUUCAAGGGGAGUUGACAAUUUUUCCUGGUAAAGACACUCAAUUUCAGAUAAAAUUGUUUAUACUGAACAAUGGUUCGUUUAUUUAGCAACUGUAGUCCUUACUUAGUUGGAAGCUUCUUGCUUGGUAUUUUUUAAUCAGAUGACAAGACUAUUCAUGGGAAACUUGAAUUUCAAACUGGUAAUGCUACCAUUUUGGAGAUUUGUUUGUGAAAGUUUGCACUGAGAGUUUGAGCAACAGCAGCAACUUCACAGGAAUAGGCAUUGGUUUAUUUGGUUUAUUUCCCAGGAGGGCUACAUUCUGACUCAGGAUUAUUUUGAAAUGUUUGUAAGAUAGCAUUUUUAGAACAAACUUUGUCAGUUACUUAUGGCAUCACAAGGGGAGCAGGAAGUUUGGGUGGAGAGUGCAAGUGAAAUGUAUACUACUAGUGUCCUAGUUUCUGUACAUCACUCUGCAUUAUGUUUGUUCCUUCUUUUACUUUAAAAGCUAUCUUUAGAAUGUUUGGUUUAGUUUGUUCAUUCACCCACCGUCACCACUCGAAGACUGGGAUCAUUAUGCCUUUGACCGCCCUGAAUUGGCCACCUCCAAAUAUGUAGCAGAUCCUCCAAGGUAAAGUGUCUGUACAGCGUCAAUCAGGUUGUGGGUUGAAUCUGAUUGUUCUGUAUUGGAGAGUACAUUCCCCUGUUUCUCUUUUUUCUGCUACCUAUUGUUUAUGUCUGUUAGUUGUCAUGACUUUGUGGAUAGUGUUGCUUGAUAUCCAAUCUUCUUUGGGGUACGUUCUUCCGUUCAGAGAACUUGUUGAUUGGUAUAUUUUCUCAGCAUUUUGCCACGGACAUGCCUGUGGGGAGAGAUAUUGCUUUACAUUUUAUCCUAACUUGGUUCAACUUCAGUUUCCUUUUUUUCAAUGCAUAUCUGUCUUAUGUCCCUGUAUCGCCAGCCACCACAUCUUUUUAUUUUCUGUUGCUUAUUGUUGGGCCUGUGCAUUUAUUUUCAUCCAGUUGCUAAUCCCGCGAUGUGCCUUUUGACAAAUCUGAAGCUCAUUUGUACCGCUUUUGCUUUGAAUUUUUGUUUGCAAUUGGGAACUGACAAAUUCAUUUAUUCCUUUUCAUUAGGUGGAGAUGGAGAAUUCCAAACCUGUUUCAGCAAAUGGAUUUACUUACACCGUCUCCUCCAUCAUCUUGUGACUAUAUUGCAACAUUUUUAUCCUUUAUUCUUUUAUCAGCUUCUUACAAGAUGGUUCUGUCAAUGCAAUGUGAAUUACAAUUACACCUCUGAUGGUGUGGAGAAAAAGAACAAGGAAAGCAUUCAGUUUGCUAUUCUGGUCGCACCCAAAGAAAUAUCAACGGUAAGAAGUAGAAGCUUCACAACAUCAAGGGAACAACUCAACGUCCCAUUAGAACUUCCCUUGUUCGAAGACUGGAGCCAUAUGCUCGAGCAGUUUCUUGCCUGUGAGAUUACUUUCUUCUGCAUUAUUUGGUUUAACCUGAGUUAAAUUAAUUGAAGUAGUGCUCAAAUAUUUUCUCCCAGUUUAUCUCAUUUCGUAUUGAAACAUUUUAUUCAUUAAAUUAAAUUUUCAAGCAAACACUUCGGCUGGCCUUGUUUUGAUUCUGCAAAAUCUAAUCAUAUGCUCAUUGUAUUUUAUAAGGCACGUUGGAAUGGAUUCAAUUGCUAAGAGCAAAAGGAAUUGCACCUUUGGGCAUUUAUUUCCCUGUCACUCAUGUCUGGCUCAAGGGCUGAUUUUAUCUUGCUUAUAGUUUCUUACUGUUUCAAUCAGCAAUGCUUUUAUUGCUUUAAUGAGCCUUAGAAGGCCCUUGGCAGUUUUUAUUGAAUGGUGUGGUAUGUGUGUUUGUGUGUAUACAUCUUUACACAUAUACAUCUAUACUGGGCUGCCCUAUUUUCAUUAUGCAAAUCUAUUGUUACUAUUUUAUUUACCUAGGUUCUUUUGGACUGUGUUAAAUUUGAAUGUUAAUGAUGGUCACAUAUAUUGGAUGAAUUUGAUGCUCAAUUUUAUUUUCUUGGAGCGACAAUGAUGUGGCCUUGGGUCCCUUCCUUUUUAUGGUAUGUAUUUUGAUGAAAGUGCAUUUUGUAUGUGGUUUUCAAUUUGUGAUUUUCAUUAAUGAAAGAAUGGACUCCAGUUAGUUGAUGUUACUGAAUUUUAGAAACAAUUCUAGACCCAAUACAACUACUGUAAUAAAUUUUGGUUCUCGUAAUAGAGCAACUGGAGUUUCUGGAAAAUAGGUUCUUCCACUAAAAGAGUAGAUGGUACACACACAAUCUAAUUUUCUUGCUUUGGGGAAUGAGUUAGUCAGACGUUAUUAAUACUUUUCCCUGCUUGUAAUUUCUAAUGAAUUUCUAUGAGUGGAAUGUUCAGUAUCUGUUGAUUGCCAAUUUCUUUUUCUUAUCUCCUUUCAAAACAAGCUUCAGAAUGCUCAUUUUGGUUUGUUCUCACAAAUGACCUUGGAUACAUUUAGUCAUGACUCACUCUGAACCUGUAUUGAUUUAUCUUCCAGUUCCUUAUGGUUUCAACUAGUAGAUGUUGCAUUGUUUGAAUGUUACAGCUCAUUGCAAGUGUAAAUUUCAAUGAUAUGGUAUUAUCACAUGAAAAUGCAUGGUGUGUAUGUACAUAUUAAUGAAUGAAAAUCUUAGGCAAAAACUAUGGGCUGCCCUGUUUCUUAAGCCCUUUAGAAUUCCUAUCCUAUAAAUUAUGUAUUCAGGAGCGUUAACUUAAUAUUUUAAUUAUGGUUGGAUCACUUAUGGAAAUGCCAUGGUUCUUUCUACAAAUGUGGAUUUUUUAUUGCUUUGCAUUCAAUCAAAAAGUGAAUGUUUUGCCAGCAAUUUUUCAGCAUUAUUACCUCAGGAAAUGCAUUUUAAGUCUGGUCUUGCUGCAAGUCUCAAGCUAUUUUUCAGAUGGAAUGUUUCGACUUGUAAUGGUUGAUUUGAUUCUAUGUGGGAUGGCCAGUACAUCUUGACUAUUCCUAUGUAUUGAAAUAAGUCAUUUCCAUUUCUGAGAAGUUAGAAUGUUUAAGCAACAAAGGCUGUUUCCCAGUUGGUUCGUUUGCAUUGAUGAGGCCACACUGUUUGUUUUAACUAGUGAAUUGCAUGGCUUUAUGGAUUUUAUCAGUGACUAACUUCUCGAGUAAGUUUUGUUUCUAGAGAUAUUAAAACUAAAGCAGGUUUAUUGUAAAUGUGUGUCCUUGGUCCAUAAAUAGAAUGUUCAAAAAAAGGAAAUUUUGACAAGGAAAAUAAGCAAAGAGGUUUUAAAUGUGACUGAAGUGGAUGUUUUCGUUGUUGUUUUCCCAUUCUUUUCAUAUGUAACUGACCUGAAAUUCUUAUACCUGUUAAAGUAAUUGAGACUAGCAAAAUCUAGUUCCCCACACUUUGAAUUCCGCACGUUGGAGUCAAUUUCUGAGUUCCUUGAUAAUUAUUGGCAUUUUCUGUGUGUUCAGGUACCUCACUUCUUUUUGUAUCCUCCAUUUCUCUUAAGCGUUCAGUGAACAAUUUUCCCAACAUUGAUUUAUUAGUGGCUGUGA
Molecule: long non-coding RNA, 4450 nt
Filed under: Thrips palmi
Lineage: Eukaryota; Metazoa; Arthropoda; Insecta; Thysanoptera; Thripidae
Description: uncharacterized LOC117642438, transcript variant X2
Source: RNAcentral